RNAcentral lists this ribosomal RNA (432 nucleotides) under uncultured bacterium. RNAcentral describes it as "partial 16S ribosomal RNA". It matches the Rfam family "Bacterial small subunit ribosomal RNA", at positions 29 to 507 of the family's 1533-position model. The record is from RNAcentral.
AACGAACGCUGGCGGCAUGCCUAACACAUGCAAGUCGAACGAGACCUUCGGGUCUAGUGGCGCACGGGUGCGUAACGCGUGGGAACCUGCCCUUAGGUUCGGAAUAACUCCCCGAAAGGGGUGCUAAUACCGGAUAAUGUCUUCGGACCAAAGAUUUAUCGCCUUUGGAUGGGCCCGCGUUGGAUUAGCUAGUUGGUAGGGUAAAAGCCUACCAAGGCGACGAUCCAUAGCUGGUCUGAGAGGAUGAUCAGCCACCCUGGGACUGAGACACGGCCAGAAUCCUACGGGAGGCAGCAGUGGGGAAUAUUGGACAAUGGGCGAAAGCAUGAUCCAGCACUGACGCGUGAGUGCUGAAGGCCUUAGGGUUGUAAAGCUCUUUUACCCGGGAUGAUCAUGACAGUACCGGGAGAAUAAGCUCCGGCUAACUCCGUG